This 493-nucleotide ribosomal RNA is filed under the name uncultured bacterium. RNAcentral's name for it is "bacterial SSU rRNA". It matches the Rfam family "Bacterial small subunit ribosomal RNA", at positions 41 to 507 of the family's 1533-position model. The record is from RNAcentral.
GGCAGGCCUAACACAUGCAAGUCGAGCGGUAACAGAAAGAAAGCUUGCUUUCUUUGCUGACGAGCGGCGGACGGGUGAGUAAUGCCUGGGAAUAUGCCUUAGUGUGGGGGAUAACUAUUGGAAACGAUAGCUAAUACCGCAUAACGUCCUUGUUCAUUACGAGCGGGACCAAAGAGGGGGACCUUCGGGCCUCUCGCGCUAAGAUUAGCCCAGGUGGGAUUAGCUAGUUGGUGAGGUAAAGGCUCACCAAGGCAACGAUCCCUAGCUGGUCUGAGAGGAUGAUCAGCCACACUGGAACUGAGACACGGUCCAGACUCCUACGGGAGGCAGCAGUGGGGAAUAUUGCACAAUGGGGGAAACCCUGAUGCAGCCAUGCCGCGUGUAUGAAGAAGGCCUUCGGGUUGUAAAGUACUUUCAGUCGUGAGGAAGGGUGUGUAGUUAAUAGCUGCAUGCCUUGACGUUAGCGACAGAAGAAGCACCGGCUAACUCCGUG